ACACACAUGAAUAUUAGACUAGCACAUGUAUUAGUUGAUGACUAUGUUUCACAAGUCAUGGACAUGGAGAUGUUGAACUAAUAAUGUGCACACAUGUGGAGACAUGUGCUAGGACUGACCCAACACGAGAAGUAGUUCUCUCUUUAAACAACAUAUACGCUUUGUCCUUAGACCUGAGAUUGUCGCAUGUAUUCUAUAUGUGGAUCGACCUACUUAGGGGCUAUCCAAC
RNAcentral lists this long non-coding RNA (229 nucleotides) under Setaria italica (foxtail millet). RNAcentral's name for it is "long non-coding RNA (SITA_LNC001240)". The record is from RNAcentral. Lineage: Eukaryota; Viridiplantae; Streptophyta; Magnoliopsida; Poales; Poaceae.